Long non-coding RNA from Vespula vulgaris, 5554 nucleotides. RefSeq lists it as uncharacterized. The record is from RefSeq and is a predicted model, not a curated record. NCBI's taxonomy places the organism in Eukaryota, Metazoa, Arthropoda, Insecta, Hymenoptera, Vespidae. The transcript has 6 exons.
AUUAGCAAUACUUUUAAUGUGUACGCAUAAAUGUAUGUAUAUAUAUCUUUGGAAUGGAACGAAAUCUAUUAGUUGUUUAUUUUUAAUUAGAUAUAUGAUUCUACUUCUCGUUAAUAAACUUUACAUUAUUAUAUUGGAAGAUACAAUGGAAGAUAUCGAAUUAAACUCUAAUACAAUCUUUUAUUCGUUUGUCGGCAACGUUAAGACUUUUGAUAAAAGAUUUCAAUACCUCGGUUAAUAGUUAAAGUGCCUUUCAACUGGCCGUAGAUAACAAAGCUCUUCACAAAUGUAUCAACGUAAGAUGUAAUACCACUGAUUAAGAAAUUCACUAAUUAUAGUCGACUAUUGUCAUUUUUCGAUGCAAGAUGUAAGUCGUAUUUGCAUUGAUACGCAGAUGAAUACGUAUAUGAUAAUGUUUUUUUAUAAACCCUGAGUUUAUUUCUGAUACAGAUUGAGAUAUAUACAGAUAUAUAUAUAUAUAUAUAUUAUAUAUAAUAUGUAUAUAUAUAUACAGAGAGAGAGAGAGAGAGAGAGAAAGAAAGGGUAAACGAAUCGAGAAUUUGAAUAAAACAAAGAACGAUAUCGAGAUUAAAUUGAAAAGAAACUUUGUUAGCUCUUGACAAAAAGGCAUUCGAUAAGGAAGCAUUAGGCGUCCAAAGUACAAUUAUAUCAAAAACCCAUUCAAAUUAAAGAAGAUUACAUAUGUAUCUGAUUAUGAUACCUUAUAUUUCUUAUUAUUCAUAUAAAAGAAAAGAAAAAGAAAAAAAAAACAGAUAAGAAGAAUAAGAAAGAAAUCUCAUCUUUAUUUCCCAAUAUCUUCAAUUAUGAUAGAUUUCUAAAUACAAUAAGGAUAAUAAUAACAAUAAUAACAACAACAAUAAUAUGCAGAAGAAGAAGAAGAAGAAGAAUAAAGUAUCUUGGUAUAUUCAAUUUUGCUUUCUUGUUCUUAUGUAGUAUAUGUAUCUAGUACAAUGUAAAUUUUAAUGUGGGAUUUCAUUUAAACGUGUCAUUUAAUGCGUAUUAUGAUUAAUAUGCAUUAUUCAUACACAUAUCAAGGUAUGUGUAUUUAAAUGAAUAUAGAAUUUAUACCUCGUUGACAAAUUAAAUUUACAAUAUUGAAAUAAGGGUGUCACGAUCAGGUACACGCAUCACGUUCGAUCGUCGACGAUCUUUCUAUAUAUAAAAUAUAUCGAUACCAAACGAUAUUACAUUUGUUAAAAGGCAUAUACGUAUUACGUACAUACGCGUACACGUGCAUACAGAAAAAUUAAGAAAAAAAUAGCAAAACAGAGCGAGGAAGAGAGAGAGAGAGAGAGAGAGAGAGAUGAAAGUACAUUGUUUUCUAACAAACGGAGUUUUCGAUGAGGUCUCGUAUUUUUGUAUUCCUGUUGCUUUCUUUUAUUUUUUGAUUUUGAUUAAUUAACUAAUUAAAUUAUAAAAAUUUUAAUAUAUAUAUAUAUAUAUAUAUAUAUAUAUAUAUAAUAUUAUUACACUGAAAGAAAAAGAGAAUGUUUAUACCAUUUACUAGCUGACGUAUACAAAGCAAAUCUUAUUACAAUGUUUAUAUGUUUCUAUAUAAGCUGAAAUAUCUAAAUACAACUUAUGUUAUUUACUUUCUGUCGAAUAUCGUAUGAGAUCAGUCUUUCGGCAACCACCGAGGUGGAAUGUUGGAAGAUCCCAUACAAACAUACAUUUGUAAAUAGAUACAUAUGUGUAUAUGUACAUAUGUACGUAACUAGAUACAUAAUAUACACACCCACACACACAUAUGCAAAGUAUACAGUAGUCUUUCUCUUGGGUAUUGCUUGAGAUUUUCUUAUAUUGUAUGGACAGUAACGAGCAACCUUUGUUCUGCAAUGAGCCAAAAUUAAAUAUCUGAUAUUGUUAUUGAUACAUUAUGAACUAAAAAUGUUUAAAUUGAUUAAAAAGAAAUUAAUACUUGAUAGAAAAAGAAAAAAUUACACAUUAUUGAAGGGUAUUUGUUAUUUUCGGCAUCAAUUUACAAUGAAAUGUUUUCUAUAAUUCCAUUGAUUUUUUAUUAGCAAUACUUUUAAUGUGUACGCAUAAAUGUAUGUAUAUACAUUUGUGUAAUGGAACGAAAUCUAUUAGUUGUUUAUUUUUAAUUAGAUAUAUGAUUCUACUUCUCGUUAAUAAACUUUACAUUAUUAUAUUGGAAGAUACAAUGGAAGAUAUCGAAUUAAACUCUAAUACAAUCUUUUAUUCGUUUGUCGUUAACGUUAAGACUUUUGAUAAAAGAUUUCAAUACUUCGGUUAAUAGUUAAAAUGCCUUUCAACUGGCCGUAGAUAACAAAACUCUUCAUAAAUGUAUCAACGUAAGAUGUAAUACCACUGAUUAAGAAAUUCACUAAUUAUAGUCGACUAUUGUCAUUUUUCGAUGCAAGAUGUAAGUCGUAAUUGCAUUGAGGCGUAUAUGAAUAUGUAUAUGAUAAUGUUUUUUUGUAAACCCUUAGUUACUCAUUUCUGUUAUGUAUUAUAUACUAUAUAUAUAUAUAUAGAGAGAGAGAGAGAGAGAGAAAGGGUAAACGAAUCGAUUAUUGAAAUAAAACAAAGAACGAUAUCGAGAUUAAAUUGAAAUGAAACUUUGUUAACUCUUGACAAAGAGGCACUCGAUAAGGAAGCAUGAGCCGUCCAAAGUACAAUUAUAUCAAAAACCCAUUCAUAUUAAAGACGAUUACACAUAUAUCCGAUUAUGAUACCUUUCUAAGUCCUGAAAUAAUUCCAUUCAAAUUUAUAUUACACUACUGCCAUGUAUGGUAAGUAAUUGAUUGUAAAGACUUUUAAUAGACUCAGAAGUGGCGCAUUCCAAGGAUUUCUAUAUAAUAUAAUAUAUAAGUUCUGUGUACCGUAGACUCUUCAUUUUUGAGGAAACAAGUUUUUUCAAACCUCUGGGAAUACCUAAUAAGUAACGUAGCUAUUUCUGGUUUUUGAAAGUUAAUGCAUAGUUUAAAAUGGAAAUAUAUACGAUGGAAACAUACCGACAAUUUUUGCGGGUUUAAAUGCUCCAAUUAUUACAGAAAGAUUUGGUCCUAUAAAAGAUUAUUUUUUGGACAUUCAUCUGUCACAGCUUCACAAUUCUUUUCUUCAUACUGUACGUCACACGCUUCGCGUAUAGCCUCUUUUUUUAUCGAUCAAGAACUAUCUCCAACAAAAUACGAUAACAGAAAUUAAGAAGUUUCGUAAUUCUUUCAUAGAAGUAACUUUGACUUCUACAAUAAAAAGAAAUUAAUAAAAGUUAUAGCUAUGUGUGUCAUGCAACGUGAAAUAAAAACUGACCUUUUUCAAUGCAUACAAAAAUGUUUUGGUGAAAAAAAUCUGAUCCAUUGGUUCUUGAUUGUCCAGGAUGAUGAUUCUUUCUUUUGCGAAGCUAUAAAAGCGGUUGAUAUACUUUUGGCUGCGGCAAGUCUUGCUGUUUUUCUUUGUAAAUCCAGAAAUAAUUCAAUUCCAAUUAUACAUUACGCCAUUAGCGUACAAGUAGUUGAUUGGAAAGAUUUUCCAUUGACUCAUAGAUGGCGUUGACUGAAGAAUUUCCAAACUAUAUAUAGAUCGUUUGUAGACUUCACUCGUACAUGAUUGGUCCGAUCUGGACAAAAAAAAAUCCGCCUAGAGGGCGCAACGAGAGCUCACCCAUGAGUCCGGUCCCGUUCUUCUAGGUGCUAUAGUUUCAGUAAACCGCUGUAACGUCCGUAAGAGUGCUCUAACCUCACUCGAACUUCCAUAACGUCCGUAAUAUCGCCGCAACUACCUAACGUCCGUAAAAGUGCCGUAACAUCACUCGAACAUGCAUAACGUCUGUCUUACGUCCGUAAGAGUGCCGUAACCUCACUCGAACAUCCGAAACGUCUGUCGAACAUCCGUAACGUCCGUAACAUCGCCGUAACGUCUGUCACAGCUCCGAGACAUCACAGAUGAUCGAAAUAACGCCGUAACGUCUGUCACACGUCCGUGACGUCACAGAUGCUGGAAACAACGCCGUAACGUCCGUAACAACGCCGUAACGUCUGUCACAGGUCCGUGACGUCACAGAUGAUCGAAACAACGCCGUAACGUCUGUCACAGGUCCGCGACGUCACAUAUGAUGGAAACAACGCCGUAAAGUCUGUCACAGGUCCGUGACGUCACAGAUGAUCGAAACAAGGCCGUAACUUCUGUCACAGGACCGUGACGUCAUAGAUGAUCGAAACAACGCUGUAACGUCUCUCAGAGAUCUGUGACGUCACAGAUGAUAGAAAAACAACGCCGUAACUCCUGUCACAGGUCCGUGACGUCACAGAUGAUCGAAACAAGGCCGUAACUUCUGUAACAGGUCCGUGACGUCACAGAUGAUAGAAACAUCGCCGUAAUUUCUGUCACAGGUCCGUGACGUCACAGAUGAUAGAAAAACAACGCCGUAACGUCUCUAAUAGAUCUGUGACGUCACAGAUGAUAGAAACAACGCCGUAAUUUCUGUCACAGGUCCGUGACGUCACAGAUGAUAGAAACAACGCCGUAAUUUCUGUCACAGGUCCGUGACGUCACAGAUGAUAGAAACAACGCCGUAACUUCUGUCACAGGUCCGUGACGUCACAGAUGAUAGAAAAACAACGCCGUAACGUCUCUAAUAGAUCGGUGACGUCACAGAUGAUAGAAACAACGCCGUAAUUUCUGUCACAGGUCCGUGACGUCAUAGAUGAUCGAAACAACGCUGUAACUUAUCUCAGAGAUCUGUGACGUCACAGAUGAUAGAAAAACAACGCCGUAACUCCUGUCACAGGUCCGUGACGUCACAGAUGAUAGAAACAACGCCGUAAUUUCUGUCACAGGUCCGUGACGUCACAGAUGAUAGAAACAACGCCGUAAUUUCUGUUACAGGUCCGUGACGUCACAGAUGAUAGAAAAACAACGCCGUAACGUCUCUAAUAGAUCUGUGACGUCACAGAUGAUAGAAACAACGCCGUAAUUUCUGUCACAGGUCCGUGACGUCACAGAUGAUAGAAACAACGCCGUAAUUUCUGUCACAGGUCCGUGACGUCACAGAUGAUAGAAACAACGCCGUAACUUCUGUCACAGGUCCGUGACGUCACAGAUGAUAGAAAAACAACGCCGUAACGUCUCAAAUAGAUCGGUGACGUCACAGAUGAUAGAAACAACGCUGUAACUUAUCUCAGAGAUCUGUGACGUCACAGAUGAUAGAAAAACAACGCCGUAACUCCUGUCACAGGUCCGUGACGUCACAGAUGAUAGAAACAACGCCGUAAUUUCUGUCACAGGUCCGUGACGUCACAGAUGAUAGAAACAACGCCGUAAUUUCUGUCACAAGUCCGUGACGUCACAGAUGAUAGAAAAACAACGCCGUAACGUAUCUAAUAGAUCUGUGACGUCACAGAUGAUAGAAACAACACCGUAAUUUCUGUCACAGGUCCGUGACGUCACAGAUGAUAGAAAAACAACGCCGUAACGGCUCUAAUAGAUCUGUGACGUCACGGAUGGUCGAAACAACGCCGUAAUUUCUGUCACAGGUCCGUGACGUCACAGAUGAUAGAAACAACGCCGUAAU